AGUGAACGCUGGCGAUAGGCCUAACACAUGCAAGUCGAACGGCAGCACAGUAAGAGCUUGCUCUUACGGGUGGCGAGUGGCGGACGGGUGAGGAAUACAUCGGAAUCUACUUUUUCGUGGGGGAUAACGUAGGGAAACUUACGCUAAUACCGCAUACGACCUACGGGUGAAAGCAGGGGAUCUUCGGACCUUGCGCGAUUGAAUGAGCCGAUGUCGGAUUAGCUAGUUGGCGAGGUAAAGGCCCACCAAGGCGACGAUCCGUAGCUGGUCUGAGAGGAUGAUCAGCCACACUGGAACUGAGACACGGUCCAGACUCCUACGGGAGGCAGCAGUGGGGAAUAUUGGACAAUGGGCGCAAGCCUGAUCCAGCCAUACCGCGUGGGUGAAGAAGGCCUUCGGGUUGUAAAGCCCUUUUGUUGGGAAAGAAAAGCAGCAGGUUAAUACCCCGCUGUUCUGACGGUACCCAAAGAAUAAGCACCGGCUAACUUCGUG
This 492-nucleotide ribosomal RNA is filed under the name uncultured bacterium. RNAcentral's name for it is "partial 16S ribosomal RNA". It matches the Rfam family "Bacterial small subunit ribosomal RNA", at positions 29 to 507 of the family's 1533-position model. The record is from RNAcentral.